This 780-nucleotide ribosomal RNA is filed under the name Triticum aestivum (bread wheat). Its description in RNAcentral is "partial small subunit ribosomal RNA". Lineage: Eukaryota; Viridiplantae; Streptophyta; Magnoliopsida; Poales; Poaceae. The record is from RNAcentral.
AUGGACAUGUCUGGCGUGAGCGCGGUGGACAGCCCUGGAGGCGGCAGCGCGUCGUCGGUGUUGGGAGCGCCGCGGCCGAGCAGGUACGAGUCGCAGAAGCGGCGGGACUGGCAGACGUUCGGGCAGUACCUACGGAACCACCGCCCCCCGCUGGAGCUGGCGCGGUGCAGCGGCGCGCACGUGCUGGAGUUCCUCCGGUACCUGGACCAGUUCGGCAAGACCAAGGUGCACAACGCAGGGUGCCCUUUCUUCGGCCACCCCUCGCCGCCGGCGCCAUGCCCGUGCCCGCUGAAGCAGGCGUGGGGGUCCCUGGACGCGCUGGUGGGCCGCCUCCGCGCCGCCUUCGAGGAGCACGGCGGCCGCCCGGAGGCCAACCCGUUCGGGGCGCGCGCCGUCAGGCUCUACCUCCGCGACGUCCGCGACGGCCAGGCCAAGGCGCGCGGCAUCGCCUACGAGAAGAAGCGCCGGAAGAGGCACCCCCAGACGUCGUCGAAGCAGAAGCAGCAGGCGGAGCCGGCCUCCGCCGCGGCCAGCCCGGCGCCCGUGGACAGGCCCGACAUGCGGCAUGGCAUGCUGGAGCAGACGCACUACCUGUUCCCCAUGCACGCGCACCUGUUCCAGGGACACUUCCUGGCGCCGGCGCCCGACGGCGACCCCGUGGGAGCCCUGGAUGGCGUAGUCCCCGCCGGGGAUGACAUCGUGAUGGUGAUGGCGGCCGCGGCAGCCGCCGCCGAGGCGCACGCUGCCGGGUGCAUGAUGCCGCUGUCCGUGUUCAACUAG